AAGUGGGUGACGUUGAUCAAGGCACUGGGCUCACACGGGCCGCACCCCGCGUGAUCUGUUGUCUCCAGGCAGACUGCCCCACUUGGGUCGAUUCUUUGAUCCCUGCUUCCCAUAUGGCAGGCCAGGGACUGGAGCUUAUUAUCUUACCGGACAAUCUAUAAGGUGCUAGCUGCAUUCCUGGCCUGGGAGAAGGGAGCCUGUCCGACCCCCCAUGUCAUGCUGGAUGGCUUUGCAGAGGUGCCUCACCUGAUCCUGGAUGGAUGUCAUCACCCUACAGUGGUCCUUUCAUGACAGGCCACAGGGCCACCAUGUGAUGAACAGGAUACAUCUGCCACGACUGGGAGGUGGGGCUGCUUCCCAAAGGACCCUGUGCCAGCCCAGUCUCUGUGGUGACUUGGUUCCAGGGGAGGCCGCACUUGACAGCACCUCCCUUAAUGAGGAGGUGUCUAUACAGAUCUAGGCCCGAAGAUGCUGCUGCAGUGUGUGCAAUAACAAAAGCUGUGACCUUAACAUUCAGGGACAGAGGAUGGGACCGGAGGCACAUCACAGUAACAUAACAGGAUGCCAUAUUGCCGUAAAAACGACAUUCAUGCAGAAUUUUAAUGGUGUAGGGGAACGGUGUGUGGUAUAACCGUGUGUAAAACCGAGGAUACGUGGAUAUAUGCAUGUAGAUAACUUCAACAAGGAGCAAUGAAGAAACCCAACGGUGUGCCCUGUGCGAACUCCACGGGAUUGAAGCACAUGCAGGAAGAAAACAGGACAGGUGGAGGAGAUAUCUCAGUCGGCAUCUGUGUGCAGGCCUGAGGGCGUGAGUUCAAUUCUCGGACCCCACACGAAAAAGCCAGGCGUGAUAGCACGUGCUUGCAACUCCCGGCACGGAAGAGGUGGACAUGG
Molecule: long non-coding RNA, 894 nt
Filed under: Mus pahari (shrew mouse)
Lineage: Eukaryota; Metazoa; Chordata; Mammalia; Rodentia; Muridae
Description: lncRNA (MGP_PahariEiJ_G0002759.1)
Source: RNAcentral